AAGACAUUUAGUGACGUACAGGACAGUAAAACACACACGCUAUCAAUGACAUGCAGCUUUUCUCAUAGACGGGGGAGGUUACUAUGUGAAGGAAUGUGUUAGGAUUGGAAGUUUUCUCUUUAUGUUUCUUUUGAGAUGGUAUGGCCUCUGAAGACCCCCAAGACCAACUGGAUGAGGCUAUUAAAAAGGCAGAACGCCUUGCCGAGGAGCUCAACCAAGAAAAGGACCCACAAGCCCAACUGGACGAGGCCAUUAACGAGGCAAAAAGACUGGCUGAGGAGCUCAACCCAGAACGGGAAAAUAAGAAGAAAAAGACAAACAAGCCUCCAGGGAUUAGGUUCAGAUGGAGACAAAGGGAUGAGAGAGGACAGAUUGAUCCUCAAACCAGGAAGGCAACUACAUCCACUUCUGUUGCUCCAAGGGCCAGUACAUCAAGAGCCAGACUAGUGCAACCUUCUGGACCAGUCACUGAGGAGGAAGAAUCAGAGACAAGGACCAGUGGAUUGGAAUCCACUCCAGUUUUAAACAUUGAUGAAGAAAUAGGUCACUACAAUGUCACAGUGCCUGUGCUUACCUGCACAACUUGUCUUAGCACCUGGACAGCAAACUUGGCAGAUCUGAUAAAGAAUGGGUACUGGCCUGCCACUGUCAACUGUGACACCAUAUACCAGGUAGAUGUGUUCAGCUCUUUUGAGGAGCUGGAAGUGUCAGCCCCAGGAAUGUCCCGUCUGGCGUUUAUGUGGAUUUUGGAGCAGCGAACAGACUCCUUUGGCAGGAACGGAAUGAUCUGUGGGGACACUUUUCAAAAAAGCUUCGAGUGGACGUACUGCCGCUCUGAAAUUGAUUAGGUCUGUGAUAUACAGGACUUUGACUGCCCAGCCUGUUCACCCAGCAUGCUUGCAGUGUCAGUGGACGGGAACAAGAAGCUGUAUCGAUUCAAAAAAGGGUUAUGGAAAAGGAGUAUGUGGAGCAUCCCAGUGGACAGCAGCUAAAGAGUUCAAGGAAAACAAACGACAAACUUGAUGAAGAGGGACUCGAAGUAGCCGUCUCUCGCCAUGGAAUACUUCUAAGGAGCCUCAACAUGAUGCGUGGAGAGAUAUUUGCAUAUCCACUGUUCUUGCAGAAGGAAUUGUCUGGCAGCAGGAACAUACAAUUCAUGUGUAUGUGAUCUGCAAAUUUUGGCCAUACCUGACCAAAGUUGCCCUUCAUUGUCCAGAGCUCGCCACUCUUCUAGACAUGAAGCCACUUUCUGUCAUGCAUACAAAGGCACAUCGUUUGAAAUGCGAGGUAAGUUUUUCUUUAUUAAACUGUUGAAAGAGAAUUUCCAGCUUCAGUCCUUUACAAGGCUUCCCAUUUAGAUGUUUGUUAUUCACAUAAUUGCAAUAUCAAGUCUAUAUUUAAAAAAAAAAAUGUAAAUUAAGAUUAAGUGGGGAGGACGGAAUCAGGAAGGAGCUGGCACAACUCUGGGGGAGGAAGAGGAACAAGGGAACAGCUUCUUGUCGAGGGCUGCAAUCUGUUCCAAGCAAAUGUCCAAAGGAGGUAAACAUUUUGUUUAAGGUUGUUCUAUUCAGCUAUGUUAAUACUUAUCUGGAAUAAGGAGUUCUAUUUGGCAUUUCUAGCAAGAACAGACAUGCUAACCAUCCAGGCCAUGGGGUGGAACAGAAGGAAAAACAACCUGCACAGAGUAUUGUCCAGAAGAUACUUGAAGGUGUAUUGUGUGGAUCAAUACAUUUAUUUUAGAAGUAUUAUAUCUAUGGAUUUAAUUUAUUUAAAAACAAUUAGUUAUUCUGUUUAGUUUUUGUCAUAAUUCUCAGACAACAGCAAAAAUCCAGGAGACCCAGACUCUCAAAGUUUAAGAGUGAUUUGGGUGUUAGGCGAUGAGACUCUGUACAACAGAAGUUCAGCAAUGAGAUAAUACAGGUAAAUUAAUACAAAAUAUAAAUAAUCCUAAAUGUAACUCUCCUGGACUGUCACCUUGACGUAGUGGAGAGGCUUGUGUACUCCAAUGACUCUGAGAGCUAACCCUCAGAGGGUGUAUUCCACCGACACGUGCAAUCAAGCCGGACGGGUAGGAGGCAGACUAAACAUUCCCUGGUUAUCCAGGUUGGGGCUCAUUCACCGCCCACAUAGUCAUUUGUUACAGAAACCUUCACAGGCCCUAUGUUCCUCCAGGAAGUGAGUGCAUCUUUUCAGCGUUGGAGAUACGUUGUUAAUUUAUAGAUGUACUGUAUUUCAGAGGAUACAAAUGAGAACAUGGGACGGUCCCCAGGUACUACAGAGAACAAUUUAAGUCCUGUUUCUUAGCAUCAAACAAAGGAAACAGAACCUCUAUUUCCUGAAUAUUGAAUUGCACGCACUUCAUUUCUCGUUAAUUUCAAAGCCAUGCAAUGUAGCAAAUAAUUCCAUUCUCCUUUUGUUUUGAUGAGAUGGAUGUUUUGUUAUCCGUGUUUGUUCAGUUGCGUAAACACAGACAGCACUUAUGAAUUUACAGCUGACCUACUCACAAAGAAAAUAGCCUUUGACCGGGUGAUGCUCCUGAGACGGCUGAAGGAGGAAGAGUUAAUUGUCCUAAAGGAAGUCUAGUAGCACUGGGAAAGCCUAAAGAGGGAAUCUGAGAAUGUGCAAGACCUUGCUUCACAUGUGGCACUUGACCUAAGCAGGCAAAGUAGGGGAACGUUCAUUAAUAUGUACAAUUGAUGUUGGCACCUUGUAAAUGCUAUUGUACUUAAGGAAUACGUCAUUGUAUUUACCCUACACAUUACGAUUGUUGGUGUUAGGCUGGCAAUUGAAUCAGUCGGAAGCUGGGAGCAGAGGUCUCUUCUCCAUGCUUCAGAGGAGAGUCAGCAGCCUCAGAAGACACCAGGACUUUGUCAAACUGAUAUACAGCAAAGCUAUGGGCCAAGACACCUCCCUCCUAGAAAAUAACUUCAUAGAUGACCUCCUGGAAGAGGACCUAGAUGACAUCUAUGACAGCAUCCACUAUCACAGACUGAAGGUGUUCGUUUGGGUGGGUGCAGUUUUGUACGGGGUAAAAAGUGACUUUGUUUUGCAUAUGUGCUUUAUCUGCCUUCCUAAGGAAAAAAAAGGUUGAACAUUUUAUGGAAAAUAAACUUUUAUGUUUAUUCCUUGUUGACAAUGUGAUCAUGUGGCAGAUUUGAGAAGGGCGCUCGUCUGUUACUGCUUUUGCCCGGUUACAUGACCAGGUCCGAUGCACCCCUUUAAAAUGGCCAAUCUGCAGUUGCUACAUCCACUUUUGGAUUCUUUAAGAAUAUAAAUGUAUAAAUGCCUUAUGAAUAUAGUUCACCUGCCGUACCCCGUCAGAUCCCAAAAUAUUUUUUUUUCUACUCGAAUGUUUGACUUUGUUUACAAUGUAAACAUACGAGCGUGUGUCAAAACUCAUUCCACGGGUGAGCAGAGUGUCUGCGCUCCUCCCAUAAUUGAUUAAUUAAGGUCACUAAUUAGUAAGAAACUCCCCUCACCUGGUUGGUUAGGUCUUAAUUGAAAGGGAAAAACAAAAACCAGCAGACACUAGGCUCUCCAUGGAAUGAGAUUGACACCACUGGACUAUAGCCGCGAAACAUGGUUUAAACUAUGGUUACAUUUCUCCAUCCCCAUCCCUCUGCUUUUUACAGAACCACUGGUGGGGAGAACGAUUUAUUGUUUCACCUGGUGAUUUCCGAUUUAAACAUUGUUAAACUGUAAUGUACUGUGCUUGUUAGUUUGUAUUAGUUUAGUUUUAAAAAAUGAAAAGGUUAUCCUUGUCUUCAAGUAAUCGUUUGCAUCCUGAUGGAGCUACAUUAGUCAUGGGCUUUUAAGUCAACGAUUCCUUAUGUAUGUAUGUAUGUAUGUAUGUAUGUAUGUAUGAGGAAAUGUACAAAUGCUUAACUAGUACUGAGUACUUUGACCAGUUACUUAUUUACUCUCAAGGAGCUUUACUUGUACUUGAGUACAAGAACUGACUCCCAUCAGCUGCAGAUGAAACCGGUUAGUUGAAAAAUGUUGCCUAGAAUCUACGGGCACUCGCAAUGAAUCAUCAAAAGUAUGGACACAGAAUGAUUGAAGUGAUCCAUAUAUAAUAUCUGUGUGGAGAAAAAUUGUUUUUAUAAAUUAAGGACCAUGACAAGAAAACCUGCCGAUGAAAAGCAGAAAGUUUCACUGGAACUUUGUCAAUAUUAUAAUUGCAAAACAACAUGAAGUUAAGGCCACCAAAAGUAGAGACAUGAUGAGGAAUAAAAUUCCAGAUAUAAGUGGGUCUUAGAAAUUGUUUUAUCCAAUUGAUCUUAAAAGUAUUAUUUGAAGUAGUCAUAUCCAGAAAAUUCAGUCCACCAUUCUCAUAAGUGUUCAUUCCAACAGUUUUCCUAAUGUAAUGGGUACGGUUUCUCCAAAGAAAGUUGAAAAGCAUCUGGUCUAUCUCCUUGCUUAUUUUACUGUCAAGAUAUAGAGCGCCAUAUGUUAGUCUAGAGAUUCCUAAUAACCAAGGCCGAAGGUAUCUCCCUUUUAAAAAUAAGUCCCUCUGUAGCCAUUGAUUUAGCUUCUUCUGGGGUCUUCUUUUACUGGAAUACCAUAAUAUGAAGGUUACACACAAUCUUUGACAGCUAUGAGUUCACAUUAAUGUUAAGAUAUAGACCAGACGCUUUAGAAAAGGAUUGUAUCACAUUGAUCGAUAUGGGAAUUUGGUUAGCGUCUUUCAGAUAGUGUAGAAUCUGCCAGCUGGCUUAUAAUAAUUUCUUUACCAGCUAUGGAAAUACCUUGUACAGGACUAUUAUUUAAAGAAUUUGCAAGAAGUUGGGUGAUUAAUAAAA
This is a long non-coding RNA of Oncorhynchus tshawytscha (Chinook salmon), 4802 nucleotides long. NCBI's taxonomy places the organism in Eukaryota, Metazoa, Chordata, Actinopteri, Salmoniformes, Salmonidae. The record is from Ensembl.